CGAACGCUGGCGGCGCGCCUAACACAUGCAAGUCGAACGAGCGAGAGAGAGCUUGCUUUCUCGAGCGAGUGGCGAACGGGUGAGUAACGCGUGAGGAACCUGCCUCAAAGAGGGGGACAACAGUUGGAAACGACUGCUAAUACCGCAUAAGCCCACGGGUCGGCAUCGACCAGAGGGAAAAGGAGCAAUCCGCUUUGAGAUGGCCUCGCGUCCGAUUAGCUAGUUGGUGAGGUAACGGCCCACCAAGGCGACGAUCGGUAGCCGGACUGAGAGGUUGAACGGCCACAUUGGGACUGAGACACGGCCCAGACUCCUACGGGAGGCAGCAGUGGGGAAUAUUGCACAAUGGGGGAAACCCUGAUGCAGCGACGCCGCGUGGAGGAAGAAGGUCUUCGGAUUGUAAACUCCUGUUGUUGAGGAAGAUAAUGACGGUACUCAACAAGGAAGUGACGGCUAACUACGUGCCAGCAGCCGCGGUAAAACGUAGGUCACAAGCGUUGUCCGGAAUUACUGGGUGUAAAGGGAGCGCASGCGGGAAGACAAGUUGGAAGUGAAAUCCAUGGGCUCAACCCAUGAACUGCUUUCAAAACUGUUUUUCUUGAGUAGUGCAGAGGUAGGCGGAAUUCCCGGUGUAGCGGUGGAAUGCGUAGAUAUCGGGAGGAACACCAGUGGCGAAGGCGGCCUACUGGGCACCAACUGACGCUGAGGCUCGAAAGUGUGGGUAGCAAACAGGAUUAGAUACCCUGGUAGUCCACACCGUAAACGAUGAUUACUAGGUGUUGGAGGAUUGACCCCUUCAGUGCCGCAGUUAACACAAUAAGUAAUCCACCUGGGGAGUACGACCGCAAGGUUGAAACUCAAAGGAAUUGACGG
This 873-nucleotide ribosomal RNA is filed under the name uncultured bacterium. Its description in RNAcentral is "bacterial SSU rRNA". It matches the Rfam family "Bacterial small subunit ribosomal RNA", at positions 30 to 916 of the family's 1533-position model. The record is from RNAcentral.